Molecule: ribosomal RNA, 1341 nt
Filed under: uncultured bacterium
Lineage: Bacteria
Description: partial 16S ribosomal RNA
Rfam family: Bacterial small subunit ribosomal RNA
Source: RNAcentral
GACGAACGCUGGCUGCGUGCUUAACACAUGCAAGUCGAACGGUAAGGCUCCAGCUUGCUGGGGUACACGAGUGGCGAACGGGUGAGUAACACGUGGGUGACCUGCCCUGCACUUCGGGAUAAGCCUGGGAAACUGGGUCUAAUACCGGAUAGGACCGCACCGUGAGGGUGUGGUGGAAAGUUUUUUCGGUGUGGGAUGGGCCCGCGGCCUAUCAGCUUGUUGGUGGGGUAAUGGCCUACCAAGGCGGCGACGGGUAGCCGGCCUGAGAGGGUGGACGGCCACAUUGGGACUGAGACACGGCCCAGACUCCUACGGGAGGCAGCAGUGGGGAAUAUUGCACAAUGGGCGGAAGCCUGAUGCAGCGACGCCGCGUGGGGGAUGACGGCCUUCGGGUUGUAAACUCCUUUCACCAUCGACGAAGGGUUUCUGACGGUAGGUGGAGAAGAAGCACCGGCUAACUACGUGCCAGCAGCCGCGGUAAUACGUAGGGUGCGAGCGUUGUCCGGAAUUACUGGGCGUAAAGAGCUCGUAGGUGGUUUGUCGCGUCGUCUGUGAAAUUCCGGGGCUUAACUCCGGGCGUGCAGGCGAUACGGGCAUAACUUGAGUACUGUAGGGGAGACUGGAAUUCCUGGUGUAGCGGUGAAAUGCGCAGAUAUCAGGAGGAACACCGGUGGCGAAGGCGGGUCUCUGGGCAGUAACUGACGCUGAGGAGCGAAAGCAUGUGGAGCGAACAGGAUUAGAUACCCUGGUAGUCCAUGCCGUAAACGGUGGGCGCUAGGUGUGGGUUUCCUUCCACGGGAUCCGUGCCGUAGCUAACGCAUUAAGCGCCCCGCCUGGGGAGUACGGCCGCAAGGCUAAAACUCAAAGGAAUUGACGGGGGCCCGCACAAGCGGCGGAGCAUGUGGAUUAAUUCGAUGCAACGCGAAGAACCUUACCUGGGCUUGACAUAUACAGGAUCGCGCCAGAGAUGGUGUUUCCCUUGUGGCUUGUAUACAGGUGGUGCAUGGUUGUCGUCAGCUCGUGUCGUGAGAUGUUGGGUUAAGUCCCGCAACGAGCGCAACCCUUGUCUUAUGUUGCCAGCACGUUGUGGUGGGGACUCGUAAGAAACUGCCGGGGUUAACUCGGAGGAAGGUGGGGAUGACGUCAAAUCAUCAUGCCCCUUAUGUCCAGGGCUUCACACAUGCUACAAUGGUCGGUACAGUGGGUUGCCAGUCCGUGAGGGCGAGCUAAUCCCGCAAAGCCGGUCUCAGUUCGGAUCGGGGUCUGCAACUCGACCCCGUGAAGUCGGAGUCGCUAGUAAUCGCAGAUCAGCAACGCUGCGGUGAAUACGUUUCCGGGGCU